Molecule: ribosomal RNA, 465 nt
Filed under: uncultured bacterium
Lineage: Bacteria
Description: partial 16S ribosomal RNA
Rfam family: Bacterial small subunit ribosomal RNA
Source: RNAcentral
GACGAACGCUGGCGGCGUGCUUAACACAUGCAAGUCGAACGGAAAGGCCCCUUUGGGGGUACUCGAGUGGCGAACGGGUGAGUAACACGUGAGUAACCUGCCCUUGACUUCGGGAUAACUUCAGGAAACUGGGGCUAAUACCGGAUAGGAAUCCUUGCUGCAUGGUGGGGGUUGGAAAGCUUCGGCGGUUUUGGAUGGACUCGCGGCUUAUCGGCUUGUUGGUGGGGUAGUGGCUUACCAAGGCUUUGACGGGUAGCCGGCCUGAGAGGGCGACAGGCCACAUUGGGACUGAGAUACGGCCCAGACUCCUACGGGAGGCAGCAGUGGGGAAUAUUGCACAAUGGGCGGAAGCCUGAUGCAGCAACGCCGCGUGCGGGAUGACGGCCUUCGGGUUGUAAACCGCUUUCAGCAGGGGCGAAGCUUGUGGUGACGGUACCUGCAGAAGAAGCACCGGCUAACUACGUG